Molecule: non-coding RNA, 97 nt
Organism: Obba rivulosa
Lineage: Eukaryota; Fungi; Basidiomycota; Agaricomycetes; Polyporales; Gelatoporiaceae
Source: the annotation of a GenBank genome assembly
GGCUCAAUGGUCUAGUAGUAUGAUUCGCGCUUCGGGUAUUGUUCUCCCUCCGGCGAUCCUAUGCGCGAGGUCCCGGGUUCAAUUCACGGUUGAGCCC